Molecule: long non-coding RNA, 496 nt
Filed under: Erythranthe guttata (spotted monkey flower)
Lineage: Eukaryota; Viridiplantae; Streptophyta; Magnoliopsida; Lamiales; Phrymaceae
Description: long non-coding RNA (EGUT_LNC002093)
Source: RNAcentral
AAAAUGUUCUUCUUCCCCACCCUCCGACCCAACUCACAGCACUCAUCCACCAUAUCUCCACCGGGGUGCCGCUUCGGCUCCUCCGCAGCUCACCACCAUCUCACCUCUCCUUCACCACCACCACCAUAUUCUCUAGAUCCGCCGCCCACCAAAAAACAUUAGUUUAUUGAAACUUUAGUUUCCACCAACAAACUUUACACGAGCCUCAAACCAUCCCCCAAUAUCUUAUUUUGAUGGCGGUGGUGGUGAUAAGAAAGAGCAAGAGAAGAGGAAAUAACAAAAAGACACAAUUUUGGACCUAGCAGGUUCGGCCGUUAAUAUCAAAGUCGUCGUCGCCGUCGAGAGAAAUCACUUGGAGAUGUUAGAUAGCCAUUGCUGUAAUUGGGGCUGAAUUAGCCUCGGGUUGUACGGAUUCGGGUCUGGUAUGAAGAUUGUAGAAGAUGAGGUGGUGGUGCUGAACUUCUUCUUCUCUUGUUGGGGUUGGGGUUUGGGGGUG